UACGAGGGGGGCUAGUGUUGUUCGGAAUCACUGGGCGUAAAGGGAGCGUAGGCGGGCUUUCAAGUUAGGUGUUUAAUCCCGGGGCCCAACCCCGGACAGGCACUUAAAACUGGAAGUCUUGAAUAGUGGAGAGGUCAGUGGAAUUAGAGGUGUAGCGGUGGAGUGCGUAGAGAUCUCUAAGAACACCAGUUGCGAAGGCGGCUGACUGGACACAUAUUGACGCUGAGGCUCGAAAGCAUGGGGAGCAAACAGG
RNAcentral lists this ribosomal RNA (253 nucleotides) under uncultured bacterium. RNAcentral's name for it is "partial 16S ribosomal RNA". It matches the Rfam family "Bacterial small subunit ribosomal RNA", at positions 524 to 776 of the family's 1533-position model. The record is from RNAcentral.